CGGCGAGCCCGUGAACGGGUGGCAGCUAUGAGGGUUAGUGACAGAUCUGCCAAAGAGCACCAUGCGGGCCACCGACGACCGCGGAGCCAGUGAAUUUCCUGUCGCGAGCCCCGUGCGGUCACCGGGUUGCCGCUGAGAGCUCUGGGAAAUGUAGUUAGGCGCGAGCAGCAGCCGUUAGCUGCGGGUCUGCGGCCGGCACCGCGGCUCCGCAGCUGCCUGCGGCUCGGACCGUCCUCCCACGUCCACAGUUCAGGAAGCUUCUGGAACACACGACCUCUCUGCAAUGGAAGCAAGAUCUGCAUCCCCAGCUUCAGACGUGUUCAUGGAGCCCUGACCAAAGAGUUCACCUCAAACUGGGAACCUUCUGAAAGCUACCCGCGAGGGACCUCAAGUAGAACCUCUGGAGAAGCCGCGCAGCACCCAUGCCAAACAAUACCACAGCGCGUUCAGGGACCCUCCACUGGCUUCAGGAUCUCGUGGAGGAAAAACUAAGCCAUUUCAUUCCCGGGAAAGGGGCUUCAGACAGGACGGAAGAGGGAAGAGCCAUCCAGAUCUAACAUUUGAAGGUGAGCCACAUCUGUCCUUUGCGUUCUCCAUGGAGCCUUCAAGGAUGGUGCUGGGGCUUGGUAGCUGUGUCGCUAUGGACACUGUGGCAUAAGGAGAGGGCUCUGGCCAUUGGCCUUGGAAGAUGAAGCUCGCCUUUUCCAGAUGGUUUCCUUUCUUUCCCUUCAAGGUCACAUGGGGAGGAAGGGAAUUUCUUAUUGCUUCCUCUUCCACCCUACCACCCCACUCACCAGGCCCUGAAGAUCCCCCAGGAAGUGACAGGAGCCCCGUUGCCUCCCCUCCAUCAAGGAGACUUCACUGCUUAGUUGGCCUUGUGCUCAGACAAAGGAAUGACCUUGGGAAAGGACACUUGAUGCGCAAACAAGAACGGGCGCUGGUGUGUCUGUUUACCAUGGCCAGCUUGUGGGGGAAGCUGGCUCGGCUUCUAUGACACCAAGGCAGACUGUUUAUGGCAGUAAGACACAGAGAAUUAAGUGAAGGGAGGCACUGAGCUGCCCGGCCUCCAUCCCCGUGUGAAGGCCACUCCCUUCCUUUCAGUAUACAGCUGAGAUCAGGGUCUAUCCUUGUUGGUUGUAAAAAAUCUCUUGUGUCAUGGAUGAAAAGGGGGGGGUGUGUGUGGCAAAUGUCUCUAAACCCAAGUUCUUGUAUGGCCACUGCUCCCUUCUAACCUUUUAAAGCGAGUACCUUAGGGGAUGGGGAUGUAGUUCAAUUGGUAGGGUGCACGCUUAGUGGGCCCAAAGCCCUGGGCUCCUUUUCUCGUGUUCCAUAGCCAGCUGUGGUGGUGCAUGUUUGUAAUCCCAGCACUUGGGGACAUGUGGACAGGCCACACACAGACCCGUUUGUCUCCAGUAUUCCAUGCUCCUGUCCUGGAAGCACACAGCUAAAAUGUAAUUUGUACUAAGUCUCUAGAACAUUCUCUCUAGUAGCAUCUAUAAUGACUGUCCCAAGGCCACUUCAAUAAGAAAUGGCACAAGUGGGUAGAGGAGGAGACAGAAGUAGAGGAAAUUUAAGCUCGGCUCUUGAAGGAACGAAGGCCUGAAGUGAGAGUGUACCCUAACCCGGGCACCCCAGGGAGCUCUGAAGUCUGCCCUAAACGGGGCUUCUAGGAACCUGCUCAAGACAGAUGCCCACAGAUGCUCCCUGGCUGGUCUUGGCAGUACACACACAUCAGGUGUCUCAGCAACAAGGCAUUCUCAAGAGUUCCAAGUCAUGCUUGGCCUCAGAGUGUGCUUGAGGCCUGCCUGGGUGACAUA
This is a long non-coding RNA of Microtus oregoni (creeping vole), 1817 nucleotides long. RefSeq lists it as uncharacterized. Lineage: Eukaryota; Metazoa; Chordata; Mammalia; Rodentia; Cricetidae. The record is from RefSeq and is a predicted model, not a curated record. The transcript is spliced from 4 exons.